GACGAACGCUGGCGGCGUGCUUAACACAUGCAAGUCGAACGGAAAGGCCCUGCUUUUGUGGGGUGCUCGAGUGGCGAACGGGUGAGUAACACGUGAGUAACCUGCCCUUGACUUUGGGAUAACUUCAGGAAACUGGGGCUAAUACCGGAUAGGAGCUCUUGCUCCAUGUUGGGGGUUGGAAAGUUUCGGCGGUUGGGGAUGGACUCGCGGCUUAUCAGCUGGUUGGUGGGGUAGUGGCUUACCAAGGCUUUGACGGGUAGCCGGCCUGAGAGGGUGACCGGCCACAUUGGGACUGAGAUACGGCCCAGACUCCUACGGGAGGCAGCAGUGGGGAAUAUUGCACAAUGGGCGGAAGCCUGAUGCAGCAACGCCGCGUGCGGGAUGACGGCCUUCGGGUUGUAAACCGCUUUCGCCUGUGACGAAGCGUGAGUGACGGUAAUGGGUAAAGAAGCACCGGCUAACUACGUG
RNAcentral lists this ribosomal RNA (468 nucleotides) under uncultured bacterium. RNAcentral describes it as "partial 16S ribosomal RNA". It matches the Rfam family "Bacterial small subunit ribosomal RNA", at positions 28 to 507 of the family's 1533-position model. The record is from RNAcentral.